Molecule: ribosomal RNA, 459 nt
Filed under: uncultured bacterium
Lineage: Bacteria
Description: partial 16S ribosomal RNA
Rfam family: Bacterial small subunit ribosomal RNA
Source: RNAcentral
CCUACGGGGGGCAGCAGUGAGGAAUAUUGGUCAAUGGUCGGGAGACUGAACCAGCCAAGCCGCGUGAGGGAGGAAGGUACAGAGUAUCGUAAACCUCUUUUGCCAGGGAACAAAGGCGGGGACGUGUCCCCGGAUGAGUGUACCUGAAGAAAAAGCAUCGGCUAACCCCGUGCCAGCAGCCGCGGUAAUACGGGGGAGGCGAGCUUUAUCCGGAUUUAUUGGGUUUAAAGGGUGGGCAGGCGGUUUGUUAAGUCAGCGGUAAAACCCCGGGGCUCAACCCCGGCCCGCCGUUGAAACUGGCAGUCUCGAGUGGGAGAGAGGUAUGCGGAAUGCGCGGUGUAGCGGUGAAAUGCAUAGAUAUCGCGAAGAACUCCGAUUGCGAAGGCAGCAUGCCGGCUCCACACUGACGCUGAGGCGCGAAAGCGUGGGUAUCGAACAGGAUUAGAUACCCGGGUAGUC